RNAcentral lists this ribosomal RNA (224 nucleotides) under uncultured bacterium. RNAcentral describes it as "partial 16S ribosomal RNA". It matches the Rfam family "Bacterial small subunit ribosomal RNA", at positions 309 to 526 of the family's 1533-position model. The record is from RNAcentral.
CACACUGGAACUGAGACACGGUCCAGACUCCUACGGGAGGCAGCAGUGGGGAAUUUUGCGCAAUGGGCGAAAGCCUGACGCAGCAACGCCGCGUGUGUGAUGAAGGUCUUCGGAUUGUAAAGCACUUUCGACCGGGACGAACACCCCUUGGCUAACAUCCAGGGGCCUGACGGUACCGGGAGAAGAAGCACCGGCUAACUCUGUGCCAGCCGCCGCAGUAACAC